RNAcentral lists this non-coding RNA (58 nucleotides) under unclassified sequences. RNAcentral's name for it is "Na+-I sequence". It matches the Rfam family "Na+ riboswitch aptamer (DUF1646)". From Rfam's summary of the family: Proteobacteria, NC10, Acidobacteria, Verrucomicrobia. Lineage (Clostridia) The riboswitch of Na+ was first reported in a comparative analysis of intergenic regions and called DUF1646 RNA, it was also suggested that it acts as cis-reg RNA present upstream of Na+ genes. Afterward it was reported as a riboswitch that selectively senses Na+. The record is from Rfam by way of RNAcentral.
GGUUGGGCGAAUUCAAUAUUCGCUUUCAAGAGUUAAAAACUUCUGGGGGUGGGAGGCU